Long non-coding RNA from Calypte anna (Anna's hummingbird), 352 nucleotides. RefSeq lists it as uncharacterized. The record is from RefSeq and is a predicted model, not a curated record. NCBI's taxonomy places the organism in Eukaryota, Metazoa, Chordata, Aves, Apodiformes, Trochilidae. The transcript has 2 exons.
CGGGAUUCCCCCUUCCCCUUCCCCCCGGGGUCUCCUCCAGACCCCUCUCCUGCUCUGCGGCGCCGCUGCGGGACCCGCCGGAAGGAGGCGGUGGCGGCGGCGCGGGCCUGGGAAUGUGGCGGCGGCUCUGAGCCCUCCCCUUCGGCCCGGCCGCCAUGGAGCCGCGGCGGUGACAGCCCCGGACACCUCAGAGCCCCGGCGCCCGCCGGGCCCGACGCUCGCCGAGAUGGAUGAACAAGAGGCCUUGAAAUCCAUCAUGAAGGACCUGGUAGCACUCCAGAUGACCCGACGUCACAGGCUGACUGGGUAUGAUACCAUGAAGAAUAAAGACACUGCUCACUCCAACAAACAG